CCUACGGGCGGCAGCAGUGGGGGAUAUUGCACAAUGGGGGGAACCCUGAUGCAGCGACGCCGCGUGGGUGAAGAAGCACCUCGUCACGUAAAGCCCUAUCAGCAGGGAAGAAAAUGACGGUACCUGAAUAAGAAGCCCCGGCUAACUACGUGCCAGCAGCCGCGGUAAUACGUAGGGGGCAAGCGUUAUCCGGAUUUACUGGGUGUAAAGGGAGCGUAGACGGCGGUGCAAGCCAGGAGUGAAAGGCCGGGGCCCAACCCCGGGACUGCUCUUGAAACUGUGCGGCUGGAGUGCAGGAGGGGCAAGUGGAAUUCCUGGUGUAGCGGUGAAAUGCGUAGAUAUUAGGAGGAACACCAGUGGCGAAGGCGGCCUGCUGGACUGCAACUGACGUUGAGGCUCGAAAGCGUGGGGAGCAAACAGGAUUAGAUACCCCGGUAGUC
This 440-nucleotide ribosomal RNA is filed under the name uncultured bacterium. RNAcentral's name for it is "partial 16S ribosomal RNA". It matches the Rfam family "Bacterial small subunit ribosomal RNA", at positions 338 to 795 of the family's 1533-position model. The record is from RNAcentral.